This is a long non-coding RNA of Pogoniulus pusillus (Red-fronted tinkerbird), 3612 nucleotides long. RefSeq lists it as uncharacterized. The record is from RefSeq and is a predicted model, not a curated record. The transcript is spliced from 5 exons. NCBI's taxonomy places the organism in Eukaryota, Metazoa, Chordata, Aves, Piciformes, Lybiidae.
AGGAGAUUAUUUCCCAGGCUGGAGGAGGCAGUGGAGUUUAGGGCUGUUGUGGGAGAAGGAGAUGGCCUUGAAUCUGAGUGAAGGACUGCCAGGCAUUCCCUUCUGGUUUUGGUAGGAGGUCUUCCUUGGCUCUGUAGAGGACUGGCUUUGUGAUGUGAAGAGCCACCCCAGCAGUGCCUUGUCACCCAUCUCCCCACGCAGAGGAUGCCACGCAGGCGAUGGGGAGGAGGAAGGCUGCUGCUAUCCUGCUUCUUGGCAGAGCAUCCUGGGAUCCCCAGCAGCUGAGGCAGGCUGUGUGUGCUGCACCAUCCUGUCUGCAGUGGGCAGGGAAUAAUCUCACCUGUAGCUGUUGCUGCAGGUGCACAGACCUUUGGAGAGUGCCAAAACCCAGAUGAGGAGAUCUGGAUGGUAACAUCCAUUCCUGCCUUGCUGCAGGAAGGGGAUGAACGAGGCCACUUUUCUUUGCACUGACACCAGGUGUGUAGCCCUCCUGCUUCCCAAGAGCUCAGCUCCACCCGUGGAGCUGGACUUCAGAGUUGUCUGCAUCUCAUUCCAGCCACCUUUUGACCAGCAAGAGAUCUGCCGUUUCUGGAUCUGUCCAACCCCAUGCACUUCAGCUACCCUUUCCUCCCAGCUGCAGUUUACCAUCACCUGUGUAAAUUCAGCUCCCCAUUGAGUCCCUGCUUGUAAAGCUUUAAAAGACUCCAGACACAGAAACCCAACUGCUGGGGGCUGUGCUGCAACCAGCUGGGUGCUGUUUAUUGCCCCCAAAGCUCUCUCUAAUUGCAGGAGCUCUGAGGCAGCGCUGAAGGGCUCAGCUGCAGGCUCCUGUUUCAUUGGAGGUGGCUGAACAGAGUUGCUCUCUCUGUUUUUUUUUCCCAUGUGAGGUGUCUUGAGAUGAGACACAAGUCUGACUGCUCAGAAUGAGCUCUCACAGCCUGCUUGAGAACCCACGUUCCCCAUUCUCUCUGCCUGCUUCUUCCUGAAGGACAUGUGGGGUUAAUCCCACCCUGACAUGAAGGAUGCUCCAGCUGGUGUCUGUGAAAGACAUCUCCCACCUUGUGCUUUUGUCCUGGUUUCUGCAGACCUGAGGAGUAAAAUUUCCCUCUGAAACUCCACUGUGUCUCUGGAGAAGGGUGAGACCAGGCUUGUCUUGAAGCCAAAUGUUCUCCUGUGGCAGAAGGUAAGGCAUGAAAUUCAGCAGCUGUGGGAGCUAAUGGAAGAUGAGAGUGAGCUCAGCUUGGGGGACCUGUGGAGCAGAGACCUGGAGUCAGGUGUCCAUGGGGCUGGGGUCUGUCCUGCAUGGUCUGCCUUCAGCUGGUGCCUGCUAAGCUUCUCCAUUCCUGAGAUGAUUGUGCAUCUACAAGCCAUAUUUAUAGCAUGGCACCAUUUCUGAGGACAAAGCUGCCUUCCUCAUGGCUGUGCAGUAAAGGCAGGAGGGUGUUUCUUCUGCUUGGCUGAGGAAAGCUUGGGAGCUUCUCUCUUCCUUCGUUUGCCUGAGGAGUGCUGAUGGAUGCAGAGGGUGGGAACUGCCCAGGCUUUCUUUACAUCACAGUUCUCUGCUCUCAGUGACGUCCAGGAUAGCACAGCAACAGCUGGAGGUGCAACUUUGAGGCACCCACCCCACCCUGAUCUCAGGCAAACCUGCUGCACUUCAGAUGGGCUGGAUAACUUCUCCAGUGACACACAGCCCACAGAUAAGGCUUGGAGGAAAUUGUUAUGUUUCUCAAGUGCUGUUGAUACUACAUGUUCUGGAAACUGAAGUCAGCCAGAAGAUCACUAUCUUUAACUGCACCAUGAAGACUGCUUUUGGGAAGAGACAGUUCCUGUAUGAGGGAUUGUCAUGGGUGCACGAAUGCAGUGUUGAAAAUCAGCUGAGGGGCUGAGCCUGUGGGGCAGGGUGUGUGUCUGGGUGUGCUGAAAGGAAACGUUAUCUUCCCAACUGCUCAUUAAAAGCUUCACGUUCAUGUCCUGAUUCAGAUCCUGUUUAUUCCAGAGCAAUCAGGAGUAGCUGCCCUGAAGCAAAGCCUGUGCCCAGCAAUAUGACAGGCUUGCAGCAAGAGGAACGUGGGAGCAGAGUGGAGCCCUGCAUCUUGGGCUCAUCAUUUUGGAGCACCCAGCAGUUUUAACUUCACCUCAAGAGAAGCCUCAUUUGAAGGGAUUUCUCCAUCCACAUGGAAUAUAACCCCCAGCUGUGCCUGGCAGCCCCGCGGUAACCGUGCCUCUUAGCUCAGCAAAUGUCUUCAGACGAGCUGCGGGCGAGCUGAUAACGAAGAGAAAAACACAAGAGAGCGGCGGGGAUGGCAGCGAUGGGCAAGGAACUGUGCACUUGAAAGGCUACAAUCCAGGUUAUACGUUUCUAGAGCCUCUUGAAGCUUUAAACUCUUUACAGCCUGUUGAGAGCAGAGUGAUCUCUGACUUCCUGCGAGGAGGCCAGCGCUGGGGUGGAGAGAUGCAGCUGCCUCACUGGCCCUGAGCAGCUGGGCGAGGCUGGAGGGGAUGCGAAGAAGCAUCUUGCAUCACCUGCAAAUGCAAAGGAGGAGGUGUCAAGAAGCUGCUUGUGGUGCUCUAACCUGCAAUGAGUCCCCUGCAUCACCUGAAAAUGCAAGGAGGAGGUGGGAAGAAGCUGCUUGUGGUGCUCGAACCUGCAAUGAGUCCCCUGCAUCACCUAAAAAUGCAAAGGAAGAGGUGGGAAGAAGCUGCUUGUGGUGCUCGAACCCGCAAUGAGUCCCCUGCAUCACCUGAAAAUGCAAGGAAGAGGUGGGAAGAAGCUGCUUGUGGUGCUCGAACCUGCAAUGAGUCCCCUGCAUCACCUGAAAAUGCAAGGAGGAGGUGGGAAGAAGGUGCUUGUGGUGCUCUAACCUGCAAUGAGUCCCCUGCAUCACCUGCAAAUGCAAAGGAGGAGGUGGGAAGAAGCUGCUUGUGGUGCUCUAACCUGCAAUGAGUCCCCUGCAUCACCUGCAAAUGCAAAGGAAGAGGUGGGAAGAAGCUGCUUCUGGUGCUCUAACCUGCAAUGAGUCCCCUGCAUCACCUGCAAAUGCAAAGGAAGAGGUGGGAAGAAGCUGCUUGUGGUGCUCUAACCUGCAGUGAGUCCCUGGAAGGGCAGCAGGUCUGGAGCAUGUUCUCGCUGCUGCUGCAGAGCUGCGUGCGGCAGGGCUGGGGAGAGACCCCCAGCAACGCUUCCAAGGGCCAAGAGUUAUGCAGGAAAAUUAUGGGAUGUGAAAUAAAAUACUGGGAGAUCGAUGCAAAGCACACAUUUAUUGAGAUGUAGCAGUCAGUUGCAGGGCUGUUAAAGAGCCAUAACUGUGUAUUAAAUAAUCAGUUCAGCUGGUAUUUAUUUAACAUAAUCGCAGCCUAUUAAACCUGAAUUAAGUGCAGAGUUGAGUGUCUCUGGGACACAUGGCUGAAAACGGUGCCAGGAAUAUUUUAUGUUGCCUGAAACCCUUUGUGGAAAACUCCUACAAACAGCAGCUUUGCCAAAGUGUCCUUUGCUUGACAGGGAAAGGCAGCGUGAGACCUUUAAUGCCAACCUGAACUGCAGCAGAGCAUUCCUGCGCGAACCGCCCUGGGUGAUCCUGCCUUGGCAGGGAGGUUGGGCUCGGUGACUUGGAG